Molecule: non-coding RNA, 107 nt
Organism: Nicotiana sylvestris (wood tobacco)
Lineage: Eukaryota; Viridiplantae; Streptophyta; Magnoliopsida; Solanales; Solanaceae
Source: Rfam
AUUCCGCUAUGUCGACACUUUCGAACUAUCUCCUUAAACCUUUCCCAUGCUUCAAAAACAGUUUCAAUCUCUUUCUGGUAGAACUUAUGGAUUUCCCUUCUAAACUU